UACGUAUGGAGCAAGCGUUAUCCGGAUUUACUGGGUGUAAAGGGAGCGUAGGCGGUCCUGCAAGUCUGAUGUGAAAGGCCGGGGCUCAACCCCGGGACUGCAUUGGAAACUGUAGGACUAGAGUGUCGGAGGGGUAAGUGGAAUUCCUAGUGUAGCGGUGAAAUGCGUAGAUAUUAGGAGGAACACCAGUGGCGAAGGCGGCUUACUGGACGACUACUGACGCUGAGGCUCGAAAGCGUGGGGAGCAAACAGG
This 253-nucleotide ribosomal RNA is filed under the name Eubacterium ramulus ATCC 29099. RNAcentral describes it as "partial 16S ribosomal RNA". It matches the Rfam family "Bacterial small subunit ribosomal RNA", at positions 524 to 776 of the family's 1533-position model. The record is from RNAcentral. Lineage: Bacteria; Bacillati; Bacillota; Clostridia; Eubacteriales; Eubacteriaceae. RNAcentral also lists the same sequence under 3 other names.